Molecule: ribosomal RNA, 1289 nt
Filed under: [Clostridium] innocuum 2959
Lineage: Bacteria; Bacillati; Bacillota; Clostridia; Eubacteriales; Clostridiaceae
Description: Bacterial large subunit ribosomal RNA
Rfam family: Bacterial large subunit ribosomal RNA
Source: Rfam by way of RNAcentral
AUUCCAUAGCGGCCCGUACCAAAACCGACACAGGUGGGCAAGGAGAGAAUCCUGAGGUGAGCGAGAGAACUGUUGCCAAGGAACUCGGCAAAAUGACUCCGUAAGUUAGCGAUAAGGAGUGCUCUUGUAAAAGAGAGCCGCAGUGAAGAGGCCCAAGCGACUGUUUAACUAAAACACAGCUCUCUGCAAAGUCGCAAGACGAAGUAUAGGGGGUGACGCCUGCCCGGUGCUGGAAGGUUAAGAGGAUUUGUCAUCCGCAAGGAGAAGCAAUGAAUUGAAGCCCCAGUGAACGGCGGCCGUAACUAUAACGGUCCUAAGGUAGCGAAAUUCCUUGUCAGGUAAGUUCUGACCCGCACGAAAGGCGUAACGAUUUGGGCGCUGUCUCGGCAGCAGACUCGGUGAAAUCUUAGUACCUGUGAAAAUGCAGGUUACCCGCAACUAGACGGAAAGACCCCAUGGAGCUUUACUGUAGCCUGAUAUUGAAUUUUGAUCAAAGAUGUACAGGAUAGGUGGGAGGCUGUGAGACGUGUACGCCAGUAUACGAGGAGCCGCUGUUGGGAUACCACUCUUGUUUGAUUGAAGUUCUAACCUGCAUCCAUGAACUGGGUGAGGGACCGUGUCAGGUGGGCAGUUUGACUGGGGCGGUCGCCUCCUAAAGAGUAACGGAGGCGCCCAAAGGUACGCUCAGAUUGGAUGGAAAUCAAUCGACGAGUGCAAAUGCAGAAGCGUGCUUGACUGUGAGACAAACAAGUCGAACAGGGACGAAAGUCGGGAUUAGUGAUCCGGCGGUGCCGAAUGGAAGGGCCGUCGCUCAACGGAUAAAAGCUACCCUGGGGAUAACAGGCUGAUCUCGCCCAAGAGUUCACAUCGACGGCGAGGUUUGGCACCUCGAUGUCGGCUCAUCGCAUCCUGGAGCUGAAUUCGGUUCCAAGGGUUGGGCUGUCCGCCCAUUAAAGCGGUACGCGAGCUGGGUUCAGAACGUCGUGAGACAGUUCGGUCCCUAUCUGUUGUGGGCGUUGGAGAUCUGAGGAGAGCUGUCCUUAGUACGAGAGGACCGGGAUGGACCUACCGCUGGUGCACCAGUUGUUCCGCCAGGAGCAUAGCUGGGUAGCUAAGUAGGGAAGGGAUAAGCGCUGAAAGCAUCUAAGCGCGAAGCCUACUCCAAGAUGAGAUCUCCCAUUCGUAAAACGAAGUAAGACCCCUUGAAGACGACGAGGUGGAUAGGUCAGAGAUGGAAGUGUAGCGAUACAUGGAGUUGACUGAUACUAAUAGGUCGAGGACUUAAUCAC